GUGACCUAAGAAUGAGCACUGCGCAUGUGCGGGUGUACAGUUGAACUCAGGUGGCUUUUGGACCCAAAAUAAUUUUGUGGAAACACGUUUGCAUUAAAAUGAAACCAACAAAUGAACGCCAGCUACAGUAACGGCAGCGAAAAGGUUUGCGAACGGACAGACUUUAAACAGCAGAAGAGGCGGAGUAGCUAAAGACUGACUGUUUUGGUUUUAUUUUUUCGCGGAGCUAAUAUUAAUGCUAGCUAACAAUGCUAACAACAACAACACCGGCACGAAGCUGUGAAAUGACCCGUCAGCUCAUUGCACUGGAAUUAACUCUACUGCACGGAAGAAAGUCCAAGAAGAAACACCUGUUUCAAGUCUUAAAGUGCUUCUCCAGCGACUGGGGGUUGCUUGGUGCCGGAUGGAGAUGGUGGCUUGCCAUGAGUGGUCUGCGUAGGACUGGCGAGUGUGAUGGCCUGGACAUUGUUUACUCAGACUGAACAGCAAACUAGCGAGGGAGGGUCGUCUGCUGAUUGAGCCACACCUGGGAUCAAGUGGCUCAAACGGCUUAAAAGCUCCCUCACUUCCAGCGUCCCUCUCUAUCUCCCCACACAUCCACCAACCACUGGAACACAUCUCCAAAGUUCUGCUGGACCAGCUCAGCUUCCCCUCAGAAGAAGUGCCACCACCUGCCAGAUGAAGGAGCCUUUUGAGAGGCAGCUGGCAUCGUGAUUGGACUGUACUUUGGUCUGUUCCAAUCCAGCUUCAGCUCCAGAGACGGCAGGCGGGACGAGUCAACGGAGGCCGGCUGGACGAAGACAUGCAGCUGAGUACAAUCUAGAAAACAACAGAGGAGGAGGAAACAAACGUAGUAGUAUAGUAGAAAAUAUACAUAGUAUAUUGUAUAAAUAACAAGUCAAAUGAGAGAGACAUACAUUGUAGAAUUGCAGUAAUUGUGGGCUGACUGAUUUACUGAUUAUCAGUAUUUUAUUUUUUACCGGUAAUAAAUACAUUUACUUUGACUCUGAACCUUUAUCUACCUGUGGUCGCUCUGUCUUCUGGAGUGAUUUGAUUGAUUAUAUGUCACAAAAACGUCUCCUUUAACUUAACAUCUGUAAAACACGAAUAAACAAAAU
Amphiprion ocellaris (clown anemonefish) is the source of this 1118-nucleotide long non-coding RNA. Lineage: Eukaryota; Metazoa; Chordata; Actinopteri; Pomacentridae. The record is from Ensembl.